RNAcentral lists this ribosomal RNA (105 nucleotides) under uncultured bacterium. Its description in RNAcentral is "partial 16S ribosomal RNA". The record is from RNAcentral.
CCGCCCGUCACACCAUGGGAGUUGGCUUUACCCGAAGGCGGUGCAGCAACCUUGGUCUUCGGAUUGGGGAGCUAGCCGACCACGGUAAGGUCAGCGACUGGGGUG